RNAcentral lists this transfer RNA (91 nucleotides) under Pelosinus propionicus DSM 13327. RNAcentral's name for it is "tRNA_Ser_GCT". It matches the Rfam family "tRNA". From Rfam's summary of the family: Transfer RNA (tRNA) molecules are approximately 80 nucleotides in length. Their secondary structure includes four short double-helical elements and three loops (D, anti-codon, and T loops). Further hydrogen bonds mediate the characteristic L-shaped molecular structure. tRNAs have two regions of fundamental functional importance: the anti-codon, which is responsible for specific mRNA codon recognition, and the 3' end, to which the tRNAs corresponding amino acid is attached (by aminoacyl-tRNA synthetases). tRNAs cope with the degeneracy of the genetic code in two manners: having more than one tRNA (with a specific anti-codon) for a particular amino acid; and 'wobble' base-pairing, i.e. permitting non-standard base-pairing at the 3rd anti-codon position. Lineage: Bacteria; Bacillati; Bacillota; Negativicutes; Selenomonadales; Sporomusaceae. The record is from RNAcentral.
GGAGCGGUACUCAAGCGGCUGAAGAGGACGGUUUGCUAAAUCGUUAGAGGUCGUAAGGCCUGCGUGGGUUCAAAUCCCACCCGCUCCGCCA